ACGAGGUGAGUAACGCGUGAGGAACCUGCCUCAAAGAGGGGGACAACAGUUGGAAACGACUGCUAAUACCGCAUAAGCCCACGGGUCGGCAUCGACCUGAGGGAAAAGGAGCAAUCCGCUUUGAGAUGGCCUCGCGUCCGAUUAGCUAGUUGGUGAGGUAAUGGCCCACCAAGGCGACGAUCGGUAGCCGGACUGAGAGGUUGAACGGCCACAUUGGGACUGAGACACGGCCCAG
Molecule: ribosomal RNA, 235 nt
Filed under: uncultured bacterium
Lineage: Bacteria
Description: partial 16S ribosomal RNA
Rfam family: Bacterial small subunit ribosomal RNA
Source: RNAcentral